Molecule: RNA transcript, 3597 nt
Organism: Antechinus flavipes (yellow-footed antechinus)
Lineage: Eukaryota; Metazoa; Chordata; Mammalia; Dasyuromorphia; Dasyuridae
Gene: LIF
Gene name: LIF interleukin 6 family cytokine
Exons: 2
Source: RefSeq, a predicted model, not a curated record
CUCUCUCUCUCCUUCUCUCCCUCCUUCUUUCUUCUCUUCCUUCUCCUCCUCCUUUUGCUUCUCCAUCUCUUCCCCCUCUUCUCCUCUUCCUCUUUUUCUCCUCUCCGCCACUUCCUUUUCUUCCUCCUCAUUUUCUCCUCCUCUUUCUCUUUCUCCUCCUUCUCCUUCUUUUUCUUCCCCUCCCUCUCCCUCUCCUCUUCAUAUUUACAUUGGACAGGUACCAUUGAAUAGUGAAUAAAGUUCUAGACUUGGAGUCAAGAAGAGUUGGGCUUAAAUUUCAUUUCUGAUACUUACUAGCUGUGUGAAGUUAAGCAAGUCUUAGUCCCUCUGUACCUUAGUUUCCAUGAGCUCCUUGAGAAUAGGGGCUGUCUUCGGCCCUUCUUUGUUUCCCUGGAGCUUAGCAUAGUGCCUGGCACAUAUUAGGUGCCAAUUAUUGAUGACCAAUCACAUAAGCCCUUAAUGAAUGCUUGUUUGGCAGGAUUUGCUCUUAAUUAUAAAAUGAGGGGGCUGGACUCAAGGAUAUCUAAGGAUCCUUUCUGCUUUAGUCCCAUGAUCCUUAUGGAGCUAGAUCUACAGCAUUUGCUCCAUCUACCCAUGUAGUAGUGGAAAGAGUAGUGAAUAGAGCACUGGACAAAAUCAGGGAGCGGCCGAAUUGAAAUCCCAACUCAGCUCCCUCCUAGUGCUGUGUCCCACCUCAUUUUCCUCAUCUGUAAUGUGAAAGUGUUGGACUAGGUGCCUUUAAGGUCCCUUCUAGCUAGAGAGCUAGGAUUCUAUGUGGAAGCGUAUCCAAAAAAGGAUGAGGCGGGUGGGCCCGAUCCGUUCUGGAGAAAGCGAGACAAGUUCUUCGGGACUGUUAUUUCUGUUUCUGGACUUCCGCUAACCAUCCCUCUGAUAUUAUGUUCUAGCUUUUUGCCAGAAAUUCAAGUCAAGUCUCUGGAAGAUAGCUUGUAGACUCCGCCCCCUUCCCUUUUUUGAAAAUUGGAGUAAUAGGGGCAGCUUGGUGGCCAGUGGAUAGAGCAUCAGCCCUGAAGUCAGGAGGACCUGAGUUCAAAUGUGAUCUCAGAUGCUUAACACUUCCUAGCUGUGUGACCCUGGGCAAGUCACUUAAGCAAAAAAAAAAAAAAAAUUGGGGGUGCUAUUUGCCUUUCUCCAGUCCUGAGAUGCCUUGCUCCCAUUCACUGUGAUCUAGCGGAAGUUCAGCAAACUGACUAGUAAAGCCUCCUGGAGAUAGCCUAGGUUUUCGAGCUUCUGGGUCUGGGAACGGCCUUCUGGGAGGUGGCCGAAACGCAGGUUGUUUGCCCACUCCUCCUCCCCCCACCCCACGGGCUGACCGGCAGGACCAGAAGGAGGUCAGAAACUGGAAUGUCCAGUAGCAAGCUUCCCAGAGUGGCUCGCUUAGCUCACUAGAGAAAACCCCCGAGUCCCCCGCUGGGAUGUCAUCGGAGCAGACGGGGAGCUGGGACCCUCAGUCAGUCAGUCAACAAACCCUGCUGAGCGGGGGAACAGAGAAAGGGAAAAGAGGGUCCCUGCCCUUGAGGAGCUCACAGUCUUGGGUGAUAAUGGAUGGAAGGCUCUGGAUGGAAGAGUCAGGAAGGAAGGUGUCUGAAGAGGGGAUGGGAGGCCGGAAACUUGAGGAGUGAGAGCUGUCCAGGCCUGGGGGGCAGGAACAGUCCCUGGUCCUUUGAGGGGAGUUCUGCUGGGUUUUCUCCUUUCCACUUUUCCCGGGUUUUUUCCUGUUUCUUUCUUUCUUUCUGUCUCUCUCCCUCUCUUCCCUCAAAAUCUCUUUUCCAUCUCCUUUUUCUUCUUCCUCUUCUUCUUCCUUCUCUUCUCCCUCCUUUUUUUCUUUCAGUCUCUCUGUGUCUUUGUCUCUUCCUUUCUCUCUGUGUGUCUCUGUUUCUGUUUUUGUCUUUAUUUCUUUUCUGUCUCCCUCUCUUUGUCUUUGUCUCUUCCUUUUGCUCUCUGUCUGUCUCUGUCUCUUUCUUUCUCUAUGUCUCUGUCUCUCCCUCUCUCUCUUGCCCCAGGACCCUUGGUCUCCAUCAGACUCUGUUCCCUCAAUCACUUUUUUGUCCCAUCUUCUCUUCUCCCUCCCCCUCCUCCUCCUUCUCCUUUUUCCUCCUUUUUGUCUCUCUUUUCUCUCCUUUCUGUCUCUUCCUUUCUCUGUCUCUCUGUUUUUGUCUUUGUCUCUCUUUUCUCUCCUCUCCAUCUCUCCCUCUCCCUUUCUCCUUCUCUCUCUCUCUCUGUCUCUCUGUCUCUGUCUCUCUCUCUCUCCUUCCUCUCCUCUUCUCUGUCUCUUGGCCCGGGACCCCUUGGUCUCCCUUCGGGCUCUGUUCCCUGACCCAUCCUCUGCCCCCUCCACUCUUUCCCUCCUUUCUCUCGCCCUCUCUCGGUCCCGUCUCCCUAGGCCAAAGAGCCGGCUGUGCCCACGGGGACAGAGCUGUGGAGGAAAGGUCGCAGUCCUGGGCCCAGGAGGGGAAGUGCCCCACCCCUCCACUUUCCUGGGAGACCAGGCAGCCUGUUGGGUUCGAAGGUCUAGGUCUGGGGGUGGGGGAGGAAGAAAAGGGAGGGGCAGGGAGGGGCAAGCAGGUGGUUAAGGAAGGAAGUUUUGGUUCCAAAGGGGCAGGGGCCCCUCCCUGGGCGGCCCAGGUCUCUUAGCAGGGCCUCUGUCCGUGUGGGGGCUGGGCCUGGGGGUCGGGGGAGGCCCGAGGGCCCUGCCUGGAGCCCAGGGCUUGUGGGGACAGCUAGCCUGGGCUGGGGGGGAGGCCAGUGGUAGGGAGUGUGCCCCCCACGCCCCAGGAGGAGGACCCUGGGUGCGGGAUGGCGUGGCUGCUCCGGGACCCAGGGACUUGCCCCCGUGCAUGGUAGGCGAGUCCCCGUCUGCGAGGGUUUCCUUUGGAGGGGGCAGCCGACCCCUGGCAGCCCCCGGGCCUGUGGCAGGUGUGAGUCAAAGCCGCUGGGGAAGCCUGUAGCCAGUCAUGAGGAAGAGCUGGGCCAGUCAUUGCCAUAUGCCCGGCCCCGGUCACCCAGCCCGGGCAGGCCCAGCCCCAGCUGCAGGGGAGUCAUCGGUGACUCAGGCCCCAGCGGCGGCCACCGUGGCCAGUCCCCCUCCCCCAGCCCCCCCGGCCCUGCCCCUCAAGACCCUCUGAGGUCGGGACUGACGGGCAGAUUCUGCCUGGACGGGGUCAAAGCCGGGGCUCAAGCCGGGGCUCGGGGGGCGUCCGCCUGAGUUUGCCCCUCAGCCCCCCUGGCCCUUUAACUUGGGGGGAGGUGGCGCGGGGAAGAAGGGGGGAGCAGCCGGGCGUCCUGGAAGGGAAGUCAAGUGGGAGGGUGGGGGGCGGGGUGAGGAGCGGCAGCCAGGCUGCGAGAGGGCCACAGCUCAGCAGGGAGCCGGGCCGGGGGUCCAGCUGGGGAGGCCGGGAGCAGGGAAGGCGCAGCCUCCUCCCAAGCCAGCCCGCCUGGAGCAGCAGCCGCCACGUGGAGACUCAGGCUCCCGUAUAUAAACCAGGCCAAGUCCCGCUCGAGCAUGAAUUUCUGCAAACACCCCUGUCAACAUAAACUCAGUCUCCACUAGGUCCCUCCCGACUUCAAGUCCGGCCCACA